GCAGAAGUGCCGAGUCCCGACCAGGGGCAGCCUCGCCGCCGCUCAGCUCAGGAAUCCCUGCCCCCCACCAGCACCACGGUGGGUGAUACUGCAAGUUCAAGCACCAGCAUCACAGUAACAGCCGGCACACAGCACUUAGGCUUCGGGUUGUUCCAGAAGCUUCUGCAGGGGCCCUAUGCUGAGCUCAAGGCACCCCUAAGAGGAGGGCAUUUUGCUGUCCCCACUUUACCGAGAAGGAACUUGGGCUCAGGGUGGUUUAAGGCGUGAAUGAAUGAAGGAGCAAGCAGUAAGUCCCGACAGCAAGGCCACCACAGCCCUCACCCCACAGGGACGCCUGAGCAAGGACCCAAGCAGGGGACAAGCAGGCUCACCCCGCCCUUGCGGGGCUGACCACGAGGCCCGGUCCGGUGGAACGCGCCAUGACACUUCAGAAGGCUCGUGUAGCUGGCGCCGUAUCGGACAGCGGGGGACAGAGAAAAUGCACAGCCCAGGGAAAUGUGGAGACAGGCCCAACGCCAGGCAUGGGGGCCGGAAGGAGCAGCUGGGGAGCAGGGGGCAGGGCCUGGAGUCCCGCCUUGCAGAUCUGAACCUGCCUCAGCCCCAGGACUCUGAGUGCAGCCAGAGGGGAGCCGGGCUGGAGAGUGGGGAGCACGGAGACUGUGGCCUGGACGGUGCCAGAGCAAACAGGAGAAAGGCUCCCCCACACAAAGGCUGCGGCACAGCCCAGCGGGUCCCGGGGCUGACUGGGUGGGAGCAGCUCCCAGCGAGAGGCCCCUGGGAUUUGGGUAAGUAGAGGCACAUGCAGACUCUGGCCACAGGGCACCUCGCGCAUGAGGGGAGUUCACCACACAAGCUGAGUGGAGGGCGGACGCAGGAGAACAGCGGUUUCUUUGGAAGCCAAGGGCAGUCAUGGAGCCCCACGCCACAGCGCUUCCCACGGGGCCACACCAUCCGGUCUGCGGAGGGAGCUGCAUUGCCGGGAAGGACCAUCUGAUUCUGGAUUCCAGCCUCACCCUGGGCCACCGCUGAGUGUCCCAAGUGGCCCCUUAGCCCCCAGGGCCAGGCGGCAUCCCAAUCCCCUUGGGAUGUUGUGCUCAGAAUGUGGCACACACACCCUGGCAGGGCCAUCCUCCUCCUCCUGCACCCGGCAUGGCCGUGGGUUCAGGGUCUCUAUCGUGGGCAGAGAUUCACAGAGUCAAGGUGAGGGUCCCAGAAGCAGCUGUGACCAGGCCCUGGCUGCCAGGGAGAGGGGGUCCUCAGCCGACAGGGCAGACACCCGGAGAUGGACCCUCGUCCAGGGGAGGGCCCUGCCGCCCACAAUUCCUUGGCAUUCCUGCACCAGCAGGAUGGGCUGAGGGAGGCGCCUUGCCAGUGUCAGUGCCCAGCAUCACUGUGCCCCGGUGGAGGGGGAGGCCUUUCCGAGCCUGGGCCUGGGUGUGAACGAGGGCAGGUUUCUCACCUCUCUGACCUCAGUUUCCUCAACUGGGAAGGGGGGCCGCAGCACCCCCUUAGGGGUGAUGAGGAAGUGGGAGCUCAGGGAGGGCCCUGGGCAGGGCUGCCUCCUCACCUCCCUUCAGCCUUUGGACACUGGAGCUCAGAGGACCAAGCAAAUGAAUGAAUGAAUGACUCAAUCAAUCAACUGAUGCAUCAAUCCAUGGACCCCUGAACAGCUGGACAGCUGGGCUGUGGGCAGGACGGGGGACUCUGGCCGAAGCCACGUUCAUAUGUGUUCAGCUUUAGGCCUCCACUGUGCCUGGACCAGCGGCCCACUCGGUGAGUCGAGUGUGCACCUGGCACCCCUCUUUCUGGAAAUCCACGAACACUGGGCUCCCAGCAGAGGACUGAGGCUGAGCAGGCCACUUCGCUGGAGCUGACCCCACAGCUGUCCUGCUCCUCCUUCGCCUUCUGCCGUGACUGUAAGCUUUCUGAGGGCUGACCAGAAGCCCAGCAGAUGCCAGCACCAUGCUUCCUAUACAGCCUGCAGAACCGUGAGCCAGCUAAACCUCUCCUUAUAAAUCACCCAGCCCCAGGUUUAUCUUUACAGCAAUGCAAGACCUGACUAAUACAGCACAAGCUCCCCAAAAUAAAAAGAAAUAUUCAAAUAGGCACACAGGAGUGUUCCCAGCGGCACUAUUCACUGCAGCCAAAAGGUGGAGGAGCCACAGGCCUGUCAGCUGAUGAUAGACAAAGAAAGCAUGGCCUGUCAUCCCAGCACUUUGGGAGGCCGAGGCGGGCAGAUCACCUGAGGUCGGGAGUUCAAGACCAGCCUGGACAACAUGGUGAAACCCAGUCUCUACUAAAAA
Molecule: non-coding RNA, 2303 nt
Filed under: Pongo abelii (Sumatran orangutan)
Lineage: Eukaryota; Metazoa; Chordata; Mammalia; Primates; Hominidae
Source: RNAcentral